UGGGGAAUAUUGGGCAAUGGGCGAAAGCCUGACCCAGCGACGCCGCGUGGGGGAAGAAGUCUUUCGGGAUGUAAACCCUUGUUGUACGGGACGAAACGAAUGACGGUACCGUACGAGGAAGCCCCGGCAAACUACGUGCCAGCAGCCGCGGUAAUACGUAGGGGGCGAGCGUUGUCCGGAAUUACUGGGCGUAAAGCGCACGUAGGCGGGCUGUCAAGUCGGCCGUGAAAGGCACUGGCUCAACCGGUGUUUGUCGGUCGAUACUGGCGGUCUGGAGUAUGGGAGAGGGAACUGGAAUUCCCGGUGUAGCGGUGAAUGCGUAGAUAUCGGGAGGAACACCAGUGGCGAAGGCGGGUUCCUGGCCCAUUACCGACGCUGAGGUGCGAAAGCCGGGGGAGCGAACGG
This 405-nucleotide ribosomal RNA is filed under the name uncultured bacterium. RNAcentral describes it as "bacterial SSU rRNA". It matches the Rfam family "Bacterial small subunit ribosomal RNA", at positions 355 to 775 of the family's 1533-position model. The record is from RNAcentral.